UGAGCAGCAGGUACCCUACCGACACAACCAUUGGUCAUGGCCUACAAGUUGGCCAUGGGGGGCUUUUUUUCCUAGUAUGCCUUGUGAUAUCCUCCAUGGAUGUCCUCGGCGCCGUCGCCAGCAGCGUCCUGCCACCGCCGCCGAUGUAUGUGUUGGGGGACUCGACGAUGGACGUUGGAAACAACAACUUCCUACCGGGGCCAUUCGUUCCCAGAGCCAACAUGCCCUACUACGGCAUCGACUUCCCAAGCGUUCCUACCGGAAGGUACAGCAACAGCUUCAACAUCGCUGACUUCAUCGCAAAGAGCAUGGGAUUCUUGAGUAGCCCUCCGCCUUAUCUGAUGCUGGCGCCAAGCACAGGCCUUCUGGUCUCCACCGCUCUCGAAAGUGGUGUGAACUAUGCUUCCGGAGGAUCUGGCAUCCUUGACAUCACUAACGCCUAGCAACAGAACAUCCCACUGUCGAGGCAGGUGCAGUACUUCAACGACACCAGGGCAAAGAUGGUCGCUGCCGUGGGCUCCGCUGCGGCGGUGGAUGCCCUGCUCGCCAGGUCCAUGUUCCUCAUCAGCGUCGGCAAC
Molecule: long non-coding RNA, 578 nt
Organism: Panicum virgatum (switchgrass)
Lineage: Eukaryota; Viridiplantae; Streptophyta; Magnoliopsida; Poales; Poaceae
Exons: 3
Source: RefSeq, a predicted model, not a curated record